This 514-nucleotide ribosomal RNA is filed under the name Schaalia odontolytica. RNAcentral's name for it is "bacterial SSU rRNA". It matches the Rfam family "Bacterial small subunit ribosomal RNA", at positions 14 to 525 of the family's 1533-position model. Lineage: Bacteria; Bacillati; Actinomycetota; Actinomycetes; Actinomycetales; Actinomycetaceae. The record is from RNAcentral.
UGAUCCUGGCUCAGGACGAACGCUGGCGGCGUGCUUAACACAUGCAAGUCGAACGCUGAAGCCUAGCUUGCUGGGUGGAUGAGUGGCGAACGGGUGAGUAACACGUGAGUAACCUGCCCUCUUCUUUGGGAUAACGCCCGGAAACGGGUGCUAAUACUGGAUAUUCACUGGCCUUCGCAUGGGGGUUGGUGGAAAGGUUUUUUCUGGUGGGGGAUGGGCUCGCGGCCUAUCAGCUUGUUGGUGGGGUGAUGGCCUACCAAGGCUUUGACGGGUAGCCGGCCUGAGAGGGUGACCGGUCACAUUGGGACUGAGAUACGGCCCAGACUCCUACGGGAGGCAGCAGUGGGGAAUAUUGCACAAUGGGCGAAAGCCUGAUGCAGCGACGCCGCGUGAGGGAUGGAGGCCUUCGGGUUGUAAACCUCUUUCGCUCAUGGUCAAGCCGCAACGUUUGGUUGUGGUGAGGGUAGUGGGUAAAGAAGCGCCGGCUAACUACGUGCCAGCAGCCGCGGUAAUA